This 898-nucleotide ribosomal RNA is filed under the name Microbacterium hydrocarbonoxydans. RNAcentral's name for it is "bacterial SSU rRNA". It matches the Rfam family "Bacterial small subunit ribosomal RNA", at positions 86 to 992 of the family's 1533-position model. The record is from RNAcentral. Lineage: Bacteria; Bacillati; Actinomycetota; Actinomycetes; Micrococcales; Microbacteriaceae.
AGUGGAUCAGUGGCGAACGGGUGAGUAACACGUGAGCAACCUGCCCCUGACUCUGGGAUAACAGUCGGAAACGAUUGCUAAUACCGGAUAUGCACCAUGAACGCAUGUUCUGUGGUGGGAAAGAUUUUUUGGUUGGGGAUGGGCUCGCGGCCUAUCAGCUUGUUGGUGAGGUAAUGGCUCACCAAGGCGUCGACGGGUAGCCGGCCUGAGAGGGUGACCGGCCACACUGGGACUGAGACACGGCCCAGACUCCUACGGGAGGCAGCAGUGGGGAAUAUUGCACAAUGGGCGAAAGCCUGAUGCAGCAACGCCGCGUGAGGGAUGACGGCCUUCGGGUUGUAAACCUCUUUUAGCAGGGAAGAAGCGAGAGUGACGGUACCUGCAGAAAAAGCGCCGGCUAACUACGUGCCAGCAGCCGCGGUAAUACGUAGGGCGCAAGCGUUAUCCGGAAUUAUUGGGCGUAAAGAGCUCGUAGGCGGUUUGUCGCGUCUGCUGUGAAAACUGGAGGCUCAACCUCCAGCCUGCAGUGGGUACGGGCAGACUAGAGUGCGGUAGGGGAGAUUGGAAUUCCUGGUGUAGCGGUGGAAUGCGCAGAUAUCAGGAGGAACACCGAUGGCGAAGGCAGAUCUCUGGGCCGUAACUGACGCUGAGGAGCGAAAGGGUGGGGAGCAAACAGGCUUAGAUACCCCUGGUAGUCCACCCCGUAAACGUUGGGAACUAGUUGUGGGGGCCUUUCCACGGUCUCCGUGACGCAGCUAACGCAUUAAGUUCCCCGCCUGGGGAGUACGGCCGCAAGGCUAAAACUCAAAGGAAUUGACGGGGACCCGGCACAAGCGGCGGAGCAUGCGGAUUAAUUUCGAUGCAACGCGAAGAACCUUACCAAGGCUUGACAUAUACG